GAAAUGCGAUAAGUAAUGUGAAUUGCAGAAUUCAGUGAAUCAUCGAAUCUUUGAACGCACAUUGCGCCCGCCAGUAUUCUGGCGGGCAUGCCUGUUCGAGCGUCAUUUCAACCAUCAAGCCCCCGGCUUGUGUUGGGGACCUGCGGCUGCCGCAGGCCCUGAAAAGCAGUGGCGGGCUCGCUGUCACACCGAGCGUAGUAGCAUACAUCUCGCUCUGGGCGUGCUGCGGGUUCCGGCCGUUAAACCACCUUCAUAACCCAAGGUUGACCUCGGAUCAGGUAGGAAGACCCGCUGAACUUAA
Molecule: unclassified non-coding RNA, 301 nt
Filed under: uncultured Chaetomium
Lineage: Eukaryota; Fungi; Ascomycota; Sordariomycetes; Sordariales; Chaetomiaceae
Description: partial contains 5.8S ribosomal RNA, internal transcribed spacer 2, and large subunit ribosomal RNA
Rfam family: 5.8S ribosomal RNA (bases 1-105)
Source: RNAcentral